Molecule: ribosomal RNA, 301 nt
Filed under: uncultured bacterium
Lineage: Bacteria
Description: partial 16S ribosomal RNA
Rfam family: Bacterial small subunit ribosomal RNA
Source: RNAcentral
CAGCGCCGCGGUAAUACGAAGGGUGCAAGCGUUAAUCGGAAUUACUGGGCGUAAAGCGUGCGUAGGCGGUUUGUUAAGUCUGCUGUGAAAUCCCCGGGCUCAACCUGGGAAUGGCAGUGGAUACUGGCAAGCUAGAGUGUGUCAGAGGAUGGUGGAAUUCCCGGUGUAGCGGUGAAAUGCGUAGAGAUCGGGAGGAACAUCAGUGGCGAAGGCGGCCAUCUGGGACAACACUGACACUGAGGCACGAAAGCGUGGGGAGCAAACAGGAUUAGAUACCCGUGUAGUCCCUGUCUCUUAUACA